This 497-nucleotide ribosomal RNA is filed under the name uncultured bacterium. Its description in RNAcentral is "partial 16S ribosomal RNA". It matches the Rfam family "Bacterial small subunit ribosomal RNA", at positions 28 to 507 of the family's 1533-position model. The record is from RNAcentral.
GAUGAACGCUGGCAGCGUGCCUAAUACAUGCAAGUCGAGCGAACAGACGAGGAGCUUGCUCCUCUGACGUUAGCGGCGGACGGGUGAGUAACACGUGGAUAACCUACCUAUAAGACUGGGAUAACUUCGGGAAACCGGAGCUAAUACCGGAUAAUAUAUUGAACCGCAUGGUUCAAUAGUGAAAGACGGUUUUGCUGUCACUUAUAGAUGGAUCCGCGCCGCAUUAGCUAGUUGGUAAGGUAACGGCUUACCAAGGCAACGAUGCGUAGCCGGCCUGAGAGGGUGAUCGGCCACACUGGAACUGAGACACGGUCCAGACUCCUACGGGAGGCAGCAGUAGGGAAUCUUCCGCAAUGGGCGAAAGCCUGACGGAGCAACGCCGCGUGAGUGAUGAAGGUCUUCGGAUCGUAAAACUCUGUUAUUAGGGAAGAACAAAUGUGUAAGUAACUAUGCACGUCUUGACGGUACCUAAUCAGAAAGCCACGGCUAACUACGUG